RNAcentral lists this ribosomal RNA (486 nucleotides) under uncultured bacterium. Its description in RNAcentral is "partial 16S ribosomal RNA". It matches the Rfam family "Bacterial small subunit ribosomal RNA", at positions 29 to 507 of the family's 1533-position model. The record is from RNAcentral.
AUUGAACGCUGGCGGCAUGCCUUACACAUGCAAGUCGAACGGCAGCACGGGUGCUUGCACCUGGUGGCGAGUGGCGAACGGGUGAGUAAUACAUCGGAACAUGUCCUGUAGUGGGGGAUAGCCCGGCGAAAGCCGGAUUAAUACCGCAUACGAACUACGGAUGAAAGCGGGGGGCCUUCGGGCCUCGCGCUAUAGGGUUGGCCGAUGGCUGAUUAGCUAGUUGGUGGGGGAAAGGCCUACCAAGGCGACGAUCAGUAGCUGGUCUGAGAGGACGACCAGCCACACUGGGACUGAGACACGGCCCAGACUCCUACGGGAGGCAGCAGUGGGGAAUUUUGGGCAAAGGGCGAAAGCCUGAUCCAGCAAUGCCGCGUGUGGGAAGAAGGCCUUCGGGUUGUAAAGCACUUUUGUCCGGAAAGAAAUCCUUGGCCCUAAUACGGUCGGGGGAUGACGGUACCGGAAUAAUAAGCACCGGCUAACUACGUG